UUAAUGUGUAACAGACUUAAGGUGUUAUCUUGCAUUUCUUCAUGUUUAAAGAUCAUUUAAUUUCUAUUAUUUGUGGGGGACUUUUAUUUUGAAAGGAAUUCCGUUUUUCAGAGCAGAAAAUAAAUGAGAGAGCAGAAGGUAAAGCGGACGUUUCAUAACAGUUUAACUAGAGCUCGUACUGAAAAGGACUGUUUACAAGUUUAAUCAGCAACCCCCCGAAAAGGCAUAAGGUUUGUUUCAUCAUAUAUUGUUAGUGAGAAAUACAUAUUUUGUGAAGAUAUCUAAGAAUGCUGAUGUAUGUUUUUGUAUUGUUUUGCUCAGCUCUUACGGUGAUUUCAAGUGUAAAGGAAUGUAAAUAAAGCAACUUGAAACAUCAGUAAAGUUUCGGCCAUCAUUCGGAUGGGGUCUGCUACAGUAAGAGCUUCACCUUCGCUGAUUAAGAUCCUCGCGGCAGGCGCAGGCGGACGGAUAUAACGCGACGACGGAAAGGGCAUUGCAGUGAGUUAUAAUCAGCAUAGAGCGUGAUGGUCUACGGAGCUGAGACGUAAAAGGGUACGAGUUCAAUAUGGAAAUGGAUGAAGAUGACCAAGAAUCUGAGAGGCCGCUCCAAAUGGAAAAUGAAGGUAAUAUGGAAACAGAUAUAAAAGGAGCAAUUGAACAAAAAGACAAAAAUACAUCAGAAGAACAGUGUCAUGUACAAGAGAGCACAGAACUCCCUCGACGUUCAGAACGUUCUCGUAUACCAACAGAGAAAAUGCUUGCUUAUCAAAAAGAGGAAUGUAGAAAGAAAGAAAAAAAAUUAACUACAUUGUAUGAACAAUGGAAGUUAGAUGCUCGUAAAGCAAGGCAGGAUUUAAAAACUGACAUAUCUGACAAGCAGCUUGCAGAUAUCGCUGAUUCACUUGAGGAUAAAAGGAAUGGUAUCAUGAAAAUCUUCAUCGAUAUAAGGGAAUUUAUUACUCCUGCUGCUGACUUAAGACGUAAAAUCGAUGCAUGUGAUGCUGUGACCAAUGACAUUGUCAAAAUAGUGUUGGAAAAAAUAUCAAAUGUAGAUGAUGAGUAUGAUGCAGAAAGAGAAAGGGGGCGUCUAAGUGAACUUUUAGCACACAGUUACGCUCGCUCUAUAUUUGGUUCCAGUGCUUCACUAAUGAGUGUCAACAGCCAUUCUGGAUCCUCUCGUACAGCAAGAAAACGAGCAGACGCUGCAGCAGAGCUGGCUGCAAAGGAGGCUGAAUACAAGAUGAUGCAAGCAGAAAGGCAACAAAAGGAAAAAUUAAGAAAUAUAGAAGAGCAAUUUAAAAAAGAGUUAGAAACUCAAAGGUUUGAACUGGAAUGUUUGCAAGUAGAAAAGGAUAUAGAGGUUGCUCGUGCCAGAGUAAAAUCGUAUGAUGAAGAAAUAAAGGAGGAAACAAGAAAUCAGUCAAUAAAAAGUGAAAAGCAGGGGCCGAGAAAUGAAAGGCAGCUUCAGGAAUCUUAUGUUCUUCAGUCAGCAUCGCUCAGUGAAGUGUCUCACCUUGCUCAAGCAGUUCAGGACAGCAUAGCCAUAAACAGGUUACCCCUACCUGAGCCUACAGUGUUCAACGGAGACCCAAUACAGUUUGUGGAAUGGAAGUCAUCAUUUAUGUCAUUAAUAGGUAAAAAGGGCAUUUCAGCAGCUGACAAGCUUUAUUAUUUGAAAAAGUAUGUGAGUGGCUCAGCGCAUAGGUAUCUUGAGGGCACCUUUUAUCGAAAUGAUGAAGAAGCGUACAAAGACGCUUGGGACAAGCUUAAUAAAAGGUACGGCCAGCCCUUUGUUAUACAAAGAGCGUUUAGAGAAAAGCUGUCUAAGUGGCCUAAAAUACAGUCCAAAGACGCAGAAGGUUUGAGAACAUUUUCAGACUUUUUAAAUGCAUGUUUGCAAGCCAUACCACAUGUAAAAGGUCUGGAAAUAUUAAAUGACUGUGAAGAAAACCAGAAGCUGGUGCAAAAACUACCUGACUGGGUAGCUUCCAGAUGGAACCGUCAGGUCACAAAAACCCUUAUGGAUGACAAAGAGUUUCCAAGUUUCCAUGACUUUGUCAAUUUCAUGACAACAGAAGCAGAAAUUAUGUGUAAUCCCAUCACUUCUUUACAUGCUCUUCAUUCAUGUGAGUCACCUUAUGAGAGAAGAAUGUCAAAGGAAACUAAAAGAAGUAAAGCAAUUGUUUUUAAGACACAAACAAGUGUAAACAAUGACACACAAUCAACAGUCAAAGGAAAGUUUACAGUGACUAAAACACAGUGUAUGUUGUGUCAGGAUGACAGUCAUCAACUUCAUAAGUGUCUGAAAUUCAUGGAGAAGUCUCUGAAAGACAGAAGAGCCUAUGUGAAAGAUAACAAACUCUGCUACGGGUGUUUAAAAUCGUCCCACCAUGCUAAGGAGUGUCGUCGUCGACACACAUGUGAUGUAUGCAAGUUACGACAUCCCACAUGUCUUCAUGAUUACAAUUAUGACAAGGACGGAAUCAGAGAACGACCAUUGCCCAUGGUAAGCAAUGUGCAUGCAACUGAAAGUGAAACUACUAAUGCCAUGUCACUUAAUAUCACAAGAGAAAGUCAGUCAGUCAUUACAUCGAUGAUCGUACCAGUAUGGGUGUCUUCAGUUAAAAAUCCAUCCAACGAACAGCUUGUGUAUGCAUUGCUAGAUACACAGAGUGACACUACAUUUAUUGAUGAAGACAUUAGUAAUACACUGCAAGUAGAGAGUCACCCAGUGAAACUCAAACUAACCACCAUGAUGGGAGACAAUGAGAUUAUUAGAAGCAAUCGAGUAACGGAUCUUCAAGUGAGAGGGUACAGUUCCUCAGUACAUAUCAGUCUUCCUCCUGUAUACACAAAGGAGUGUAUUCCAGCUAAUUAUGAUCACAUACCAACACAGAAAACGGCAAUGAACUGGAGUCACUUGAAAGGAAUUGCUGACGAAAUGGCACCUCUACUCAAUUGUGAAGUAGGCUUACUACUUGGCUAUAACUGCCCUAGAGUGCUAGCUCCAAGACAAGUCAUACUAGGUAAAAAUGAGGAACCAUAUGCCAUUUUAACAGAUUUAGGGUGGAGUAUUGUGGGCUGCUCCAUACCAAGUAUCAAUGAAUCAACAGGGUUCAGUCUUUGUCAAAGGAUAGCUACAAAGGAGAUACCAGCUAUGACACCUGGGGAUGCAGUCCGUAUACUUGAAUCAGACUUUAAGGACAUCACAGUAGAUGACAAGACAGUCUCUCAAGAGGACAUCAUGUUCCUAGACAAACUUAAAGUAGGAAUAAAGAAAAAUUAUCUAGGACAUUAUGAAAUGCCUCUUCCAUUUAAGCAACGACCAUCCUUGCCGGACAACAGAGAACUUGCAUCGAUCAGACUCCAACAUCUGAACAAGAAGUUUUCCAAAAAUGAGAAAUACAAAACAGACUACUUCACUUACAUGAAUGACAUUAUUGACAGAGGUGAUGCAGAAGUGGUAAAUGAUGAGGGAACCAGUGGUGAAAAAUGGUACAUACCUCACCAUGGGAUCUACCACCCAAAAAAGCCAGAUAAGCUACGGGUUGUAUUCGAUUGCUCUGCAAAAUUCAAAGGUACAAGUCUCAAUGAACAUUUACUAUCAGGACCAGACAUGAUAAACAACCUCACGGGAGUCCUUGUAAGGUUCAGAAGGCAUCCUAUUGCAGUGAUAUGUGACAUUGAAAAAAUGUUUCACCAAUUUCACGUUCAGGAAAAGGAUCGUGAUUAUCUGCGCUUCUUAUGGUGGAAAGAUGGAGACACAAAUUCAGUUCUUCAAGAUUACAGAAUGAAAGUGCAUCUAUUUGGUGCAGUCUCUUCGCCCGGUUGUGCAAACUAUGGGCUAAGAUAUUUAGCCAAUGAGUACAGCCAAUCACACGCAUUAGGCGCUCAGUUCAUCACAAGGGAUUUUUAUGUUGAUGAUGGAGUUACAAGUGCAGAAACAGUAGAAAAGGCUAUACAGUUGACAAAGGAAGCACGGGAACUGUGUGCAAAGGGUGGUCUUCGACUUCACAAGUUCGUAUCAAAUGACAACACAGUUUUGCAAAGCAUACCAGAAUCAGAACGUGCUGUAAACUUUGAAACGAAAGAUCUCACCUUCAAUGAAAUGCCACUCGAAAGAGCUCUGGGAAUUCACUGGAACAUACAGAGUGAUAGUUUCAAAUUCCAUGUUCCAUUAAAGGGUCAGCCUACAACACGUCGUGGCAUAUUAUCCACUGUUGCCUCCAUAUUUGAUCCUUUAGGAUUUGUAGCUCCAUUUGUUCUCAAUGGCAAGAGAAUCCUACAGGAAAUGUGUCGCCAAGGAACUGGCUGGGAUGAUACACUUUACCCUGCACUCAAGCCACGGUGGGAGAGAUGGCAAAAUGACCUUGUCAAUCUAGAAAAUGUGAACAUACCACGAUGUUAUGUACCUGCUGAUUUCGGAAAAGUAGUGAAAACAGAAAUGCAUCAUUUCUCAGAUGCGAGUACCUGUGGUUACGGUCAAUGUUCUUAUCUGAGGAUGAUAAAUGAGGAUGAUGAAAUUCAUUGCUCUUUUCUUAUUGGCAAAGCCCGGGUUUCUCCUUUAAAGAUUAUCACAAUACCCAGGUUAGAGCUAACUGCAGCUGUAGUAUCAGUCAGUAUGAGCAAUAUACUCAGAGAAGAGCUUAACCUCAUUGAUGUCGACGAAUACUUUUGGACUGACUCAAAGGUAGUUUUGGGUUACAUUAAUAACGAUGCUCGUCGUUUCCACACAUUUGUAGCCAAUAGAGUCCAAAAAAUACGUCAAAGUACAACACCCAAUCAAUGGCUGUAUGUCCCAACAGAUGAAAACCCAGCAGACAACGCUUCAAGAGGGAGAACAAUCAAUGAGCUGCUUUCAUCUAAUUGGUUCUCUGGGCCCUCAUUUUUGUGGGAAAAGGAAAUAACAACCACAAAUGUUGUGCCAGACCUCCCAGUCGGAGAUCCAGAGGUAAAGAAAAUUCAGACAUUACACACAAAGACCAUGGAAAAUAAAGAUCUUGUAGACCGAUUGUCCAAGUUCUCAUCUUGGUCUAAGACUAUCAAAGCUGUUGCACGCCUUCUGAGAUGGAUUAAGAAAGAUAAAACCAAUUCACCAGCAUCCGUAAGUGAACAAGAAGAUGCAAAAUGCUUGAUUCUAAAAGGAGUACAAAGGCAAGUGUAUCAGAAAGAGACUGAAGUGUUGAGUCAAGGAAAAAGACUUCCAAGUCACAGUAAACUUCAUCAUCUGGAUGCCUUUAUAGACAAAGAUGGUAUAAUCAAGGUGGGAGGCAGAUUAGAUCACUCAUCAUAUACUCACGCAUUCAAGCAUCCAUGGAUCCUGCCAAAGGAACACCAUGUUACAAAGUUGAUUAUUGCACACUGCCAUGAAUGUGUAAAGCAUCAAGGCAAGGGUUUCACAAUCAAUAAUAUCAGAUCAUGCGGCUAUUGGAUACCUGGAAUAAACAGAGUGGUCACAUCUUACAUUCUCAACUGUGUGACUUGCAGAAGGAUGAGAAGAUCUGCUGAAGGCCAGAGGAUGAGUGAUCUCCCCUCAGAACGUGUAGAGCCUUCGCCGCCUUUUAUGUAUUGUGGCAUGGACUGCUUUGGUCCAUUCAUGACUAAAGAAGGGAGAAAACAUCACAAGAGGUACGGUCUGCUUCUAACAUGCUUGUGUUCAAGAGCUAUUCAUAUUGAAAUGUUAGAAGACAUGUCGACGGAUGCAUUUAUUAACAGUCUGAGAUGCUUUAUUGCAAUUCGAGGCACAGUAAGGCAAAUAAAAUGUGACCAAGGUACCAAUUUCAUAGGCGCAAAGAAUGAAUUGAAUUCAGCAUUGCAAGAACUCGAUCCAGAACGCCUCACAACUUUUCUUGCAAACAAACAAUGUGACUUUGUUUUGAAUGCUCCUCAUUCCAGUCAUGCAGGGGGUGUAUGGGAGCGUCAAAUCAAAACUGUCCGGAGCGUUCUUAAUGCUACCAUCACCCUUUCAGCAGGCAGGCUUAAUGAUGCCUCAUUGCGCACUGUAUUUUACGAAGCCAUGGCAGUAGUCAAUAGUCGCCCUCUUACGAUUGACAAUCUGAAUGACCCCAAGAGCUUAGAACCACUCACACCCAAUCAUCUGAUAACCAUGAAGCCCACCACAGCAUUGCCUCCACCAGGAAAGUUCAUUAGAGAGGAUAUGUAUACAAAAAAGAGAUGGAGACGUGUGCAGUACCUUACUGAACAGUUUUGGAGCAGAUGGAAAAAGGAGUAUCUACACAAUAUCAUUGCAAGGCAACGCUGGCAUGCUCCAAAAAGGAACCUUCAAAUUGGUGAUGUGGUCAUGGAUAUAGAAGAAACAUUGCCUAGGAGUGAAUGGAGACUAGGGAGGAUUAUAGAGACUGUUCUGAGCCCGGAUGGACUUGUAAGAAAAGCCAAAGUAGCACUUGGCGACAAGAGAUUAAACAAGAAAGGAGAAAGAAUGCAUAAAAUCUCAAUAGUAGAUAGACCAGCUCAAAAGUUGGUCUUGUUGUUGGAAGCAGAGUGAAUGCAUUUACAAUGGGACUUUAUUGCACUUUAUACACUUCCAAAGAGGGUUAUAAUUGGAAAUUAGUUAUGUUUGAGGAACAUUGAUAAUUUGGUGGGAGUGUAACAGACUUAAGGUGUUAUCUUGCAUUUCUUCAUGUUUAAAGAUCAUUUAAUUUCUAUUAUUUGUGGGGGACUUUUAUUUUGAAAGGAAUUCCGUUUUUCAGAGCAGAAAAUAAAUGAGAGAGCAGAAGGUAAAGCGGACGUUUCAUAACAGUUUAACUAGAGCUCGUACUGAAAAGGACUGUUUACAAGUUUAAUCAGCAACCCCCCGAAAAGGCAUAAGCUCUUACGGUGAUUUCAAGUGUAAAGGAAUGUAAAUAAAGCAACUUGAAACAUCA
This is a non-coding RNA of Danio rerio (zebrafish), 6884 nucleotides long. The record is from RefSeq and is a predicted model, not a curated record. Lineage: Eukaryota; Metazoa; Chordata; Actinopteri; Cypriniformes; Danionidae.